GCCUGGGUGGCGUAGUGGUUAGCGCAUCUGCCUAGUGAGCAGGAGACCCGCGUUCGAACCCCGGGCUUGGUA
This 72-nucleotide transfer RNA is filed under the name Schistocerca americana (American grasshopper). RNAcentral describes it as "tRNA-Thr". It matches the Rfam family "tRNA". From Rfam's summary of the family: Transfer RNA (tRNA) molecules are approximately 80 nucleotides in length. Their secondary structure includes four short double-helical elements and three loops (D, anti-codon, and T loops). Lineage: Eukaryota; Metazoa; Arthropoda; Insecta; Orthoptera; Acrididae. RNAcentral also lists the same sequence under 2 other names. The record is from RNAcentral.